This 679-nucleotide long non-coding RNA is filed under the name Dasypus novemcinctus (nine-banded armadillo). RNAcentral describes it as "lncRNA (ENSDNOG00000051750.1)". The record is from RNAcentral. Lineage: Eukaryota; Metazoa; Chordata; Mammalia; Cingulata; Dasypodidae.
CACUCAUCAGAUAUUACUGAGUAGCCGCUCUGGGCCAAGACCAGGCCAGCGGGUGGCUGUGGUGAUGGGUGCAAAGAUGAAGAAACUGAGCUACAGAGAAGUUUUAGUACCCUCUUCAGGUCGACUUUGAAUGGCGGGCUCCAACCACUGCUCUACACGGCCUCUUGCACAAAGCACCCAGCACCUGUAGCUGAUGGAGGUGAAAGGCCAGUGACGCUCUUGGGUGUGGGAUCGAGAGGGCACCCCUGGAGGCAGACGGUCAGGUUUGAACCGCAGCUCUCCCAUCUGCUGUGUGAAGUUCCGCAGGGCCUGGAACUCUCUGUGCUUUGGUCUUGUAUCUGUGAACUGGAGAUAGUAACUGUCUGCCUGCGCACUCAGUGAGGGCCGAGAAGAAGUGACACAUGUAAAGGGCUGACAACCAUGCACGCAAGCAGUGAGUGAUCAAUACGUGUUGUUAUUUUCCCCGCUAUUUCACUUUUUAUGUGGCCAUCAGAGUCACACCUGCUAGAACACAGGAAGUCACACGUUUGAGGGUGAACGGAGGACCUGGUUUUGAAACUCAUUCGCUCCUCGGGACCUUCCCAACCCUUCCUUUUUUUUUUCUUUUUAAAUAUAUAUAUAUUUUUAGAGACGCUGUGAACUUACAAAGCAAUCAAGAACAUGUGUGACAUCGCCAUCC